RNAcentral lists this ribosomal RNA (301 nucleotides) under uncultured bacterium. Its description in RNAcentral is "partial 16S ribosomal RNA". It matches the Rfam family "Bacterial small subunit ribosomal RNA", at positions 509 to 807 of the family's 1533-position model. The record is from RNAcentral.
CAGUCGCCGCGGGAAUACGUAGGGGGCGAGCGUUGUCCGAAGUUACUGGGCGUAAAGAGCGCGUAGGCUGGUCUUUAAGUGAGUGGUGAAAGGUUCGGGCUCAACCCGGACACUGCCUUUCAUACUGGGGACCUUGAGUGUGGGAGAGGCGAGUGGAAUGGUCGGUGUAGCGGUGAAAUGCGUAGAUAUCGAUCGGAACACCCAUGGCGAAGGCAGCUCGCUGGCCUAACACUGACGCUGAGGCGCGAAAGCGUGGGGAGCAAACGGGAUUAGAUACCCCUGUAGUCCCUGUCUCUUAUAC